RNAcentral lists this ribosomal RNA (307 nucleotides) under uncultured bacterium. RNAcentral's name for it is "bacterial SSU rRNA". It matches the Rfam family "Bacterial small subunit ribosomal RNA", at positions 30 to 334 of the family's 1533-position model. The record is from RNAcentral.
AUUGAACGCUGGCGGCAGGCCUAACACAUGCAAGUCGAGGGGUAACGGGGUGCUUGCACCGCCGACGACCGGCGCACGGGUGCGUAACGCGUAUACAAUCUACCUUUUGCUGAGGAAUAGCCCAGAGAAAUUUGGAUUAAUGCCUCAUGGUAUUCUAAAGCAGCAUUGUUUAAGAAUUAAAGAUUUAUUGGUAAAGGAUGGGCAUGCGUGACAUUAGUUAGUUGGUGAGGUAACGGCUCACCAAGACGAUGAUGUCUAGGGGUUCUGAGAGGAUGAUCCCCCACACUGGUACUGAGAUACGGACCAG